UGCGCGCAAGUACUAAAGUCCAUCGUUAGUGUCACUGCUAUGACAACAGGCUUCAAGCAAGUUGAUGAGGCACACGUAAAAUGUGAUUUAAAAAAAUCUGAACUGCGAACCACAGACAGGCUCGUCUUGUUAGAGUAGCAUGUCUCUGUUCAAGGCGUGUGAUUGGUGAGCCGCGGUGCUGGGGGAGGAGUUUGACCAGGGAUGCCUGUGUGUCAGAGAUGUGGACAACAGCGGACAUGAUAAGAUAGUGGUGGGCAACUACAUGGGCAUGCUGCGGGUCUUCUCCCCCCACCCUGCCAAGCCUGGAGAGCCAGGCCCACAGCCAGCUACUGGAGGUGCAGCUCAGAGACCCCGUCAUCCAGGUUGAAGUGGGCAAGUUUUUCUCGUACUGCUGGUAAUGUGGAGCAUGGGGUUCAGUACCAGCUCAAGCGGGUCUAUGAGCACAUCCUCCAGAGGACCGCUUGCAACAUGACUUAUGGAACCUUCGGAGGGGUCACAUGUUACACAUCACAUGAGCAGCUCAAAUACUUCACAUGUAACAGAUAUGCAUUGACAGUUUAGUCACAAACCACACACACUUUUUUCAUUUUUUUUUUUAGUUAAUUCAUUGCCCUUUCAUUU
This is a non-coding RNA of Oncorhynchus mykiss (rainbow trout), 621 nucleotides long. Lineage: Eukaryota; Metazoa; Chordata; Actinopteri; Salmoniformes; Salmonidae. The record is from RefSeq and is a predicted model, not a curated record.